CCCUUAGAUGUUCUGGGCCGCACGCGCGCUACACUGAUGCAUUCAACGAGUCUAAAACCUGCUCUGAUAGGGGUGGGUAAUCUUUUGAAUGUGCAUCGUGAUUGGGAUAGAUGAUUGCAAUUUUUCAUCUUCAACGAGGAAUGCCUAGUAAACGCAAGUCAUCAGCUUGCAUUGAUUACGUCCCUGCCCUUUGUACACACCGCCCGUCGCUACUACCGAUUGGAUGGUUUAGUGAGAUCCUUGGAUUGGUCCUGGCGUGGCGGGUCACCGCCGUGCCAGUGUGCCGAGAAGACGAUCGAACUUGAUCAUCUAGAGGAAGUAAAAGUCGUAACA
This 333-nucleotide ribosomal RNA is filed under the name uncultured eukaryote. RNAcentral describes it as "partial 18S ribosomal RNA". It matches the Rfam family "Eukaryotic small subunit ribosomal RNA", at positions 1470 to 1796 of the family's 1831-position model. The record is from RNAcentral.